UACGGGGGGGGCAAGCGUUGUUCGGAAUUACUGGGCGUAAAGGGUCUGUAGGUGGCUUGCUAAGUCAGACGUGAAAUCCCUCGGCUUAACCGGGGAACUGCGUCUGAUACCGGCGAGCUUGAGUGCAGGAGAGGAACGCGGAAUUCCAGGUGUAGCGGUGAAAUGCGUAGAUAUCUGGAGGAACACCGGUGGCGAAGGCGGCGUUCUGGACUGCAACUGACACUGAGAGACGAAAGCCAGGGGAGCAAACGGG
This 253-nucleotide ribosomal RNA is filed under the name uncultured bacterium. RNAcentral's name for it is "partial 16S ribosomal RNA". It matches the Rfam family "Bacterial small subunit ribosomal RNA", at positions 524 to 776 of the family's 1533-position model. The record is from RNAcentral.